GUGGGGAAUCUUGCGCAAUGGGCGAAAGCCUGACGCAGCCAUGCCGCGUGAAUGAUGAAGGUCUUAGGAUUGUAAAAUUCUUUCACCGGGGACGAUAAUGACGGUACCCGGAGAAGAAGCUCCGGCUAACUUCGUGCCAGCAGCCGCGGUAAUACGAAGGUGGCUAGCGUUGCUCGGAAUUACUGGGCGUAAAGGGCGCGUAGGCGGACAGCUUAGUCAGAGGUGAAAGCCCAGGGCUCAACCUUGGAAUUGCCUUUGAUACUGGCUGUCUUGAGUUUGGGAGAGGUGAGUGGAACUCCGAGUGUAGAGGUGAAAUUCGUAGAUAUUCGGAAGAACACCAGUGGCGAAGGCGACUCACUGGCCCAAUACUGACGCUGAGGCGCGAAAGCGUGGGGAGCAAACAGGAUUAGAUACCCGAGUAGUCC
This 425-nucleotide ribosomal RNA is filed under the name uncultured bacterium. Its description in RNAcentral is "partial 16S ribosomal RNA". It matches the Rfam family "Bacterial small subunit ribosomal RNA", at positions 354 to 796 of the family's 1533-position model. The record is from RNAcentral.